ACAAACAAACAAAAAAACCAAAAAACCAAAAAAACCUAACCUGUUUUCCUCUUGUUUUCUGAGGAUAAUUUGGCCAGUAAUUUUCAUGCCAAAAACUCAUACCUCUAGUUGAGAGACAUGAAAAGAUCAAGCUUGAUUCUGUAACUGUCUUCUCUCCUUCUAAGAGCAGGAAGUUGAUGUGGCAAGAUGCUUCCUCUGACCCGAAUGCUUGGUGUAAAUGAUCAGCAGACAAUCAGGUUAGCCAGUGCUCCUGUCCAGGGCCUGAGGUUCAGAGAGAGAGAGACAGUGCGAGAGCAGGGGAGGAGCAGAAGAAAGAGAGGGAGACACAGAAUCCAAAGCAGGCUCCAGGCUCUGAGCUGUCAGCAGAAAGCCCAAGAUACGGCAUUCUGGUUUUCCUACCUUCCCUAUUCUUGGACUAUGUGAGUUUGGUAUAUUAAGAGUAGUGUUGGUCAAGGCAAGACCAAAGCACAGGAGCUUCUAAUGAAGAUGAAGAAUUAUUUUUGGAGAUAGAGGAAGAACAACAGAAGAAUUCCUUCAAAAAUGAAUGAAGAUCAUCAGAUAAAGCAAUAUAUAUGUAUCAAAACCAAGCAUAUUUUAAAAAAUCAAAAGAGCAAAGAAAAAACGUUUUUUUUUUUUU
Long non-coding RNA from Neofelis nebulosa (Clouded leopard), 637 nucleotides. RefSeq lists it as uncharacterized. The record is from RefSeq and is a predicted model, not a curated record. NCBI's taxonomy places the organism in Eukaryota, Metazoa, Chordata, Mammalia, Carnivora, Felidae. The transcript has 4 exons.